AUUGAACGCUGGCGGCAGGCCUAACACAUGCAAGUCGAGCGGAUGAAGGGAGCUUGCUCCUGGAUUCAGCGGCGGACGGGUGAGUAAUGCCUAGGAAUCUGCCUGGUAGUGGGGGAUAACGUCCGGAAACGGGCGCUAAUACCGCAUACGUCCUGAGGGAGAAAGUGGGGGAUCUUCGGACCUCACGCUAUCAGAUGAGCCUAGGUCGGAUUAGCUAGUUGGUGGGGUAAAGGCCUACCAAGGCGACGAUCCGUAACUGGUCUGAGAGGAUGAUCAGUCACACUGGAACUGAGACACGGUCCAGACUCCUAAGGGAGGCAGCAGUGGGGAAUAUUGGGAAAAGGGCGAAAGCCUGAAUCAGCCAAGGCGGGGGUGUGAAGAAGGGCUUCGGGUUUGAAAACCCUUUUAGGUGGGAGGAAGGGCAGUAAGUUAAUACCUUGCUGUUUUGACGUUACCAACAGAAUAAGCACCGGCUAACUUCGUG
Molecule: ribosomal RNA, 484 nt
Filed under: uncultured bacterium
Lineage: Bacteria
Description: partial 16S ribosomal RNA
Rfam family: Bacterial small subunit ribosomal RNA
Source: RNAcentral